RNAcentral lists this ribosomal RNA (396 nucleotides) under uncultured bacterium. Its description in RNAcentral is "bacterial SSU rRNA". It matches the Rfam family "Bacterial small subunit ribosomal RNA", at positions 358 to 768 of the family's 1533-position model. The record is from RNAcentral.
GGAAUAUUGGGCAAUGGGCGCAAGCCUGACCCAGCGACGCCGCGUGGGGGAAGAAGUCUUUCGGGACGUAAACCCAGGUUGUACGGGACGAAGGAAGUGACGGUACCGUACGAGGAAGCCCCGGCAAACUACGUGCCAGCAGCCGCGGUAAUACGUAGGGGGCAAGCGUUGUCCGGAUUUACUGGGUGUAAAGGGCGCGCAGGCGGGAUAAAAAGUCAGUGGUGAAAUCCUACAGCUUAACUGUAGAACUGCCUUUGAUACUGUUAUUCUUGAGUUCGGGAGAGAGAGGCGGAAGUCCAGGUGUAGUGGUGAAAUACGUAGAUAUCUGGAAGAACACCAGUUGCGAAGGCGGUCUCUGGGUCCGACACUGACGCUGAGGCGCGAAAGCGUGGGGAG